AUGGUUGGUAGGUCAUGGUUUCACGUUCCGCUGCAGAUUAAGAAGGCUCUCAAGGGUCUGAGAGUUGAGGUAUCCCACCGAGGAGAGGUGCGCAGGAAAUACCGCAUCAAUGGCUUGACAAAGCAGUCUAGCAGAGAUUUGAGGUUCAAAUUAUCGACCGUCGAAACCAAGACUGUGAGGGACUACUUUCGAGAAACCUGCAAGCUGCAACUAAGUUACGAUUUUCUCCCCUGCCUGCAAGUUCGUACAGAACAAAAACCGAACUAUCUUCCAAUGGAGGUUUGUGCAUUGGAGGCCAAGUUGCUGCUGUGGUGGUAUGGCAAGACUGAACUCAACUCAUCGGCUGUGGCAAAAUGA
Molecule: ribosomal RNA, 357 nt
Filed under: Triticum aestivum (bread wheat)
Lineage: Eukaryota; Viridiplantae; Streptophyta; Magnoliopsida; Poales; Poaceae
Description: partial small subunit ribosomal RNA
Source: RNAcentral